This 253-nucleotide ribosomal RNA is filed under the name uncultured bacterium. Its description in RNAcentral is "partial 16S ribosomal RNA". It matches the Rfam family "Bacterial small subunit ribosomal RNA", at positions 524 to 776 of the family's 1533-position model. The record is from RNAcentral.
UACGUAGGGGGCAAGCGUUGUCCGGAAUUAUUGGGCGUAAAGAGCGCGUAGGCGGUCCGAUAAGUCGGCUGUGAAAGUCAGGGGCUCAACCCUUGGAAGCCGGCCGAUACUGUCGGACUAGAGUCCGGAAGAGGCGAGUGGAAUUCCCGGUGUAGCGGUGAAAUGCGCAGAUAUCAGGAGGAACACCAAUGGCGAAGGCAGCUCGCUGGAACGGUACUGACGCUGAGGCGCGAAAGCGUGGGGAGCGAACAGG